UCGUCUAAUCUAAUCGCGAGCCACUUUUGCGUUUUGAUAUCGCAAAAUUGGUAUAAAUACACAUCAAAGCAGUUGUUGUUCAAUCUGUUUAGUAUCAACACGAGUACACGAGAAUCACAAGAGCAAAAUGGCAAAAGUUCUAUGUUUGACAUUGGUGGUGGCUGUUUUGGUGAGCCUUACUGCAGCACUUCCUUAUUUAGUUACCGUCAACGAAGAUGAACCGUGUCCUGAAGUUCCUGUACGCCCUCCUUAUGACCCAGGUUACAAUGAAGGUGAUCCUUGUUUCGUCACAGACCCGAAUUGCUACGGAUACUAUGCUCCACAUCCAACCCACUGUUACCGAUUCCUGCAAUGCGCUGCGAAUAGAACAUUCGUUGGACGAACUUGUUCACCCGGAUUGUUCUGGAAUCAAGUGUUGGGUGCCUGUGACUUUCCAGCCCAUGUACAAUGUGACGGCCAGACCACACAACGGUCAACGACCACCACCACGGUGGCAACAACAACCAGUUCUUAGUAUCCCACAACCGAGUAUACAGGAGCUACUAAGUGUGAAAGGGUAAAUCUAUUGUGAUGACUGAAAUUAUUAUAAGUCGCAAUAAACGUUUCUUUUGUUAAUGAAUCG
This is a long non-coding RNA of Bradysia coprophila, 622 nucleotides long. NCBI's taxonomy places the organism in Eukaryota, Metazoa, Arthropoda, Insecta, Diptera, Sciaridae. The record is from RefSeq and is a predicted model, not a curated record.